GAAAAGCAAUCUUUCCCAAAACUUUCAAGUAAAACUCACUUCAUUUUCAAGAGGCCCACUUCUUAGGGUAGUCACUCUGUGAUGACGAAUGGACGUGUCUCCAGGGCGUGACGGAGCCCUCCUCUAGCCAUCACUUGCAUUCAGAUUAUUAUUCGGAUCAGAAUACUCAUCAGCUCAAAAACCAAGAGGAAAUCUUGAGGAUCCUUAACUAUGGUCUUCUACUUCUCCAUCGAAUUUCCCAUAUCUUAGCAUUAUGUUAUAGGAGCAACAGAAUAAUCUCCAUGUGUGCAAGAAUGCUACUCAAGGGUAGGUAGAAAGGAAGAGAGCUACCAGACAUGAAUGGACCGUGCAUAUGAAAUUGACUUAUGUGACCUUGGUAACCUGUGCGGACCAAUGAUGGAGACCCCAACAGGAUUAUGGAUGUCUCUGCAGAUGAUCAGUGUGGGCAAAAGACUCAAUGGUCCAGAUGCCUGUGGCUUUGCACAUUUGCUUCAUUGUCCAAUGAGACUGCUCAAACGUGAGCUAUCACACUUGCUUUCUAGCCAGUAGGAAAAAGGUAUACCUUUUCUAAGUUCCACAUCCAUCGUUUCCUUAUGUCUCAUCAGCCAAAAGAGCCAUAUAGUCAUACCUAGCUGAAAAGUGGGCCAGGAAAUAUAGUGUUUAGCUGGGUGACAAUGUGUCUGGUCAUUAAAAAUUAGAGUUCUUAUUAAGGAGUUCUUUUUGAGGGUUCUUGUUAAGGAAUUCUCUUUCUGUGCAGUUCUCUCCUCUCCAAUACUCUUUCCUGAGAACCCUAGACAUCUUCUCCCCAGACUUUCAACUCCAUCUUCUCAACUCCAGGAGUAUACUGCGCUCACCCUCCCUGCAUUACAACCUAGACUUCUUUUUAAGUCAGUAAGCUGGGGCAAUUGUAGGGCUCAUCUUGUUUGUUUCCCAUCUUGAAAGGGACACUUUCCUUCAUUGUCUGAUAUCCAGUGUCUGAAAACCUUUGUUUCAUAUAUUUUCCUUUUGUUUUUUUUUUUCCUGUCUGUGUUUCAGGUAGGAAGGGUUAAUCAGGUCCCUGUUAUUUGUCUUGGCUAGGAGUGGAAGUUCCUUACCCAAUUCACUUUUUUCCUCUAUUUAUUAUUAUAGUCAUCUCUCUCAUCCACCUGGGGCUGCUUUGUAAAGUAUUUUGGUAUUCUUUGCAAUUUGCUGGGAUGUAAGUGAAGUUGGCAUAUACACAUUACUUCUU
RNAcentral lists this long non-coding RNA (1228 nucleotides) under Equus caballus (horse). RNAcentral's name for it is "lncRNA (ENSECAG00000039400.3)". Lineage: Eukaryota; Metazoa; Chordata; Mammalia; Perissodactyla; Equidae. The record is from RNAcentral.